UACGUAGGGUGCAAGCGUUAAUCGGAAUUACUGGGCGUAAAGCGUGCGCAGGCGGUUCGCUAAGACAGACGUGAAAUCCCCGGGCUUAACCUGGGAACUGCAUUUGUGACUGGCGGGCUAGAGUAUGGCAGAGGGGGGUAGAAUUCCACGUGUAGCAGUGAAAUGCGUAGAGAUGUGGAGGAAUACCGAUGGCGAAGGCAGCCCCCUGGGCCAAUACUGACGCUCAUGCACGAAAGCGUGGGGAGCAAACAGG
This 253-nucleotide ribosomal RNA is filed under the name uncultured bacterium. Its description in RNAcentral is "partial 16S ribosomal RNA". It matches the Rfam family "Bacterial small subunit ribosomal RNA", at positions 524 to 776 of the family's 1533-position model. The record is from RNAcentral.